UACGUAGGGUGCGAGCGUUAAUCGGAAUUACUGGGCGUAAAGCGUGCGUAGGCGGUCCGCGAAGUCUGAUGUGAAAGCCCCGGGCUCAACCUGGGAACUGCAUUGGAAACUAACGGGCUCGAGUGUGGCAGAGGGGGGUGGAAUUCCACGUGUGGCAGUGAAAUGCGUAGAGAUGUGGAGGAACACCGAUGGCGAAGGCAGCCCCCUGGGCUAACACUGACGCUCAGGCACGAAAGCGUGGGGAGCAAACAGG
RNAcentral lists this ribosomal RNA (253 nucleotides) under uncultured bacterium. RNAcentral's name for it is "partial 16S ribosomal RNA". It matches the Rfam family "Bacterial small subunit ribosomal RNA", at positions 524 to 776 of the family's 1533-position model. The record is from RNAcentral.